This 325-nucleotide ribosomal RNA is filed under the name uncultured eukaryote. Its description in RNAcentral is "partial 18S ribosomal RNA". It matches the Rfam family "Eukaryotic small subunit ribosomal RNA", at positions 1470 to 1796 of the family's 1831-position model. The record is from RNAcentral.
CCCUUAGAUGUUCUGGGCCGCACGCGCGCUACACUGAUGCAUUCAACGAGCCUAUCCUUGACCGACAUGUCCGGGUAAUCUUUGAAUCUGCAUCGUGACGGGGAUAGAUUAUUGCAAUUAUUAAUCUUCAACGAGGAAUGCCUAGUAGGCGCAAGUCAUCAGCUUGCGUCGAUUACGUCCCUGCCCUUUGUACACACCGCCCGUCGCUCCUACCGAUUGGGUGUGCUGGUGAAAUGUUCGGAUCGGCCGUUUGUCGCGGUUUCCGCGUCAUGUGGCUGAGAAGUUCAUUAAACCCUCCCACCUAGAGGAAGGAGAAGUCGUAACA